This is a long non-coding RNA of Rhagoletis pomonella (apple maggot), 187 nucleotides long. RefSeq lists it as uncharacterized. The transcript has 3 exons. The record is from RefSeq and is a predicted model, not a curated record. Lineage: Eukaryota; Metazoa; Arthropoda; Insecta; Diptera; Tephritidae.
ACGGACACGAAAUCUAGAGGAUGGCCGGUAUAACGAUAUACUAUACUGUGUAUAGUUUGAUAAAGCAGAGAGGAGCUUAUUGACAGUGUUAUUAACCGAACCCUUUUGGAACCGAAGAUCAGCUAUCCGAACCACUGUGGGACGCAACACCAGAGGAAGUUCGAACAUUGGUUAAAGAAGCAGCCUG